UAAAAGCACGUUUGGUUAACCUUAACCUUAAUCACAACCUCAAAUCCAUAGUAAGUUUCGACCAACACCAACUCUGUGUGUCUCCACUUUCUGCUUCUUCAACUUCCUUUCUCGAUCCAUCUUUUGGAACCAACUCGCGCGUGCGUUGUAGACCGCACCGCACCGAACCAAAUCUAGAAGUCUCUCCAGUUCAAAAAAAUGCUCGGUGUCCCGUUCCACUUCUAGCUUUUCAUUCCUCUGGUUCAAUACCAUGACACCUGGUAAAAGUGUCUUGUUGUUUUCUUAAUCGUGUUUUCUUUAGGAAAAGAAAAAGAAACUGGGAAAUUGGGAUAUCUAAUGUUUUGGGGUUUUGGGUAGUUGAAAUGUAAUAUUGGAGUAAUUGAUUGGAUUUGACUUGGUUUGAUUGGGUUGUGGAAAUGAACCACAUCACUUAUGACUUUGUGUGUAUGCAUUUUGUUUAGUUUUCUGUCAUUGUUGCUUUUAAUUGGGACCAUGUGAGCUUCGGAAUCUAUUGUUAUUGUUUGGAAUCCGUGAAAAAUAAACACUCGCAGUUACACUAAAGCAUUUUAGUAUAUUCUAUGUAACAUGCUUUUAGCAUUUUGAUUUAAUUUAAUAGAUUAUUUUGCUGUCCCUAACCCAUUUUGCUUCCGAAUGAAAUGUGAUAUUGGAGUAAUUGAUUGGUGCUGUGCAGGGAAGAAAAAUUUAAGUUGUUAGUUGAAUUUGAAGUUUUUAUUAAUGGAUAAAAAUGUCGCCGUCUUAUCUAAUUCAUCUGCUUUAAGGUAGAAAAGAAAACGAUGGUGAUGAUGAUGCUGAUAGAAAGGUUUCUAACUUGUUUGAUUUAUUUGUUGUUGUUGUUU
RNAcentral lists this long non-coding RNA (857 nucleotides) under Phaseolus vulgaris (common bean). RNAcentral describes it as "long non-coding RNA (PVUL_LNC004566)". The record is from RNAcentral. Lineage: Eukaryota; Viridiplantae; Streptophyta; Magnoliopsida; Fabales; Fabaceae.